UUUUCCUAAUUAAUACAACAUAUUUUAAUUCGGAAAAGAGUAAAGGAACAAGCACAAGUAGGAUAUAUAACUUCAAAAUAUAAAAAAUAAAGAAUAUAGCAUAAGUUAAUGUUAUUUUUCCCUGAAAUGGAAGGGAGACAAAGAUAAGAAAACAGUUACAAUAGUUACUUUUAUUACGAAAACGAUAUUAAGCAGUCCAAUGCAACAUGGCAAACUAGCAAAUGUACAUUAUCACUGCGAGUUAUCAAAUUGAAAUUUAAAGUAUUUCUUCCUUCAGCCAGCUACAUCAUUUAGUUUACUCUUAUUACCAUAUGUAGUACUAUAAAUUCAGUUGAAUGUCUUAAGUUCACGUUUAUAUUAGUUCAUUUUGGUUAAACAACCAAUUUUUGUCACUUUUCUGAGAGAGACACUGACCAAUAAGCGAUUACAUUUAAAAAAUAAGUGGUAGCUUAACAUACCAUAAUUACAUGACCAACCAAGCUAACAUACAAUUCUAUGAUUGAAGCUGCAAAUUUUCUUUCACGAUUGAGCAAACUCACAACUACUAUAAUGUACACGACAUUAAGCAACUACACUAGAAAUACUGAAUCAAAAUACGUGUGCCAUUCAGAACUAGCUGUCACAUUGCGUGGGAGAAUUGUCAUAUGGCCUCAUGCAGUAGCUGCAUACUUCCGCAAAAGAUCAAGCAGCUGAUUUUUUCACUAAGAUUCUUGUACUUACUCCGUUCACUAAGGCUCUCUUACUCACUCCUUUCAGCAAACUCCAUACCAGGCUCGGUGUGGUUGAUAUUCACCAACCACCCGCUUGAGGGCAAGUAAGAUGUGUAUUUAUUCACAUUUCACAGCUAGCUGUGCGUGUGUUUUUUCACAGCCAUGUGGUCUCAUGGAGUUGAUACAGCAGCACUGCUAUUUCCCUUUUGCAGCUUUAUUCUUGUAUGUAAAUACUCUUGAGUUCACAUCAAUAAAAAUUAAUGAGAAUGGUUUGUUCAUAUUCACUUAAUUUCUUAUGAAGCACUUCCACAGUGUUCCAUGCUGCCACAAGAAAGGGGAAACACUCUGUUCAGACUUCCAAACUAUUUAAAUUUUAGGCACCAAAUAAAGAUCAUCAAGAUAUUGCCAUUUCUUUUAUAAAUCAUGCAUUAACCAUCAUAAUUGCAACAUCAAAGUCUUUCUUUGAAGCCAAAACCAGAAAUCUAAGUUGUUUGGAGAACAAGAUAUUCAAUUUUUGGUCUCUCAUGUACUAAAUUCAUAGUUGACAGCAUCAAGAAUUUGAGGAAAGUUAUAGUUUUUUUUACUUAAUUAAGUUUCAAAUCUUUCAUAAAUUUGGGUAUUUUUAAUUGAGUCUCUAUUAAAAAAUUUUGGACUAUUGAGUACUAAAAAAAUUUAUAACUUGUUUAAUUUUUUUGUUGACAAUGACAUGGUUGUUAUUUUGUCGUGUUAUCUUGCUAACUUGUCUCCAUGUGUUAAAAAAUUGAAGGUUUUGUACUUAUUAUAAAACAAUAUUGCAGCUAAAGAAAAAAUGACAGGUAACUUUCAUUGUUUUCAUUGAAAACAUGUUCAAGGGACUUCGUAGUCACCACAGUCCCUUGGUCGCUCUAGGUGUGACGUGGAAGCCAUUGAGGAGCAUGAUAAUCUUGUUAUCCAAUACAUUUUCAAUAAAAGCAAUCAAAGUCACUUGUCAUUAACGACAAUAUCAUUUUAAAUUAACUUCUAAACCUCAUAUUUCUUAACAUAUGGAGACAAGUAAUGAUGGACAAAAUAACAGUAAUGUCACCCAAUUAAUGGAAAAAUUAAAAGGCACGGACUCAAUUCAAAAAUAUAAAAAAGAUUGUACUCAAUUAAAUAAAAAAGUUUAAUAGGGACUCAAUUGAAAAUACCCAAAUUUAUGAGGAACUUAAAACUUAAUUAAACAUUUUUUCUUUAAAAGUUUUACCCUAGAAAACAUCAUAAUGAAACCUUGACAUCCCAACUAGACUGACACAUCACAACUCCAUCAAUAAUGUCUGUGAAAAAUCAAGUCAAAACACACAAGGUAGAGUUGAAUUCACAAAUAUCUCUGAUGAUAUGCAAUAAUACGAUAGUUUUAAACAUGAAAGACGAUUUGUCAAAAACUUUCAAAACUAAGUUCAGAAACUUCUUAGGGUAGUGCAAUUUAGUAACAUGCAAUUUUAACAUGAUAAGGAAUGAAGAAAUUAAUCAGAGAUUUUUGUAUUGUUUCGUCUAAUAGUUUAGACUACAUUUAAUUCUUAAUCAACAAAUUAAGUUGCACUAUGCAAACUAACGUUGCAAGUUACAACACCAAUAUUUUUUUGGCUCGCAACCACUCCUAGAUAACCCGUUAAGUAUUGUUUCAAAAUGUAACCAUUCCUAGCUAACUUGUUAUGUAUUGUUUAAACACUUAGCCACUUAUGACUAAAAACCCGAGUUUUGUUUUGGAUUGUAUAACAAAUAGUCACUCCUGGCUACGACAAUAUUUGUGUAAGAUGUGAUAAAAAAAUAUCACAAAGGGUUCGCUCAUUGGAGAGGGUGACAUCUUUCAAUGUAUACAAAGUUCAAGCUCUCUUUUCUAGUUUGCUAAUGAACAGAAAAGUGUUCACCUAAAGCUUUUAAGGCAUAUACAUUUUAACAACAUUUUGGCACUCUGCAAAUCAUAACUCUUAUGCUUUUCUUCUUGAAGGAUAACUUUAUAUAGGCAUUGAAGAAAAGAGUUGUUGCAAAUCUUUUUCUAACCAUUGAGCAGCUUCAGCUUUUAUGAAUGUUUACCUUAUGUCUGGGAAGCUUGAACAUAGAGGAUGCAUUGAAUGCACUCCAUGCAUGCAUUAAAUCUCUUCUCAUCUUGAAGCAACAUCCCAAUAGCUGGAAGAAUUUAUCAUUCUUUGGUCAAAGUGCCUUAACUCGAAAUUGUGUAAAGCACUAACAAUAGCUGACUCGAAACUGGACAGGCUAGAUAGUCUUUUUAGUGUUAACAAAGCAAGCAUUAGGGAGUUAUUAAAGCACAACAACUUUAGCUCAUGUUUCAAGAAAUUGUUGAUAUAACAUAAGCUUUUAUGAAUCUUCUUGAUAGACAAAUGAAGCGAACAUUCUCUGCAAAAUAAAAUAAGCAUAAACAAAAUGUUACUAGAUUAACUUAUAAUAUUUUAAUUGGGCCGGUAUGACAUUGCCCAAUUUAAUUGAGGGUUUUCUACAGUUAUUAGGUUUAGUCACAACAAUUGGUUGUUGUUAUUGGAUUAGAUUGUAGCAUUUUAUUUGGACCAGGUAUGAUAUGGCCCAAUUCUUCUUAGAUUUUUGUUGUUGCAAUUUUUGGUUUUUAGCCGACCAUAAGCCAUGUUGCCAGUUGUAUGGAUUAUUGUUAAUAUUUUAAUUGGGUCAGGUAUUAUGUGGCCAAUUCAUUUUAGGUCAGCUAUGUUAUUGUUAGUGUUCCUCACUCACACACAACAUCACUGUCGUCGCCGCACACACCGGUACUACGCACCACUGCCGCAAAUUGUCAUCGAAACUGUGUCGUCGUUGUUCACUCUCAUCAGACCUUGCGCCGCCGCAACAAGCCUCAUUCUUUCCGCCUUUUUCGCUAUCUCCGUUCACCGUUAGCAUCUGGUGAUGCAAAAAGCGGCCAUCAUGGGCCGCCAUGAAAAACCCACAUCGCCACCGCCACGUUGUGACAAUGACUAGAAAGUCCUCCACCGCUUUCCACCAUGGCGAUGCCAUAACCAAUUAUUGAUAACACUGAUUGUAAAGCAAAACAUUUCGUCUUACAAACGAAGUCUAGUCAUGUUUUAUACUUUGUUGUUUAAUAGCACUUAAUCAAAAUCUGGAUUGUUGGAUUUUUCUUUAACAAUGUGACACCAAAGUAAAAAAUGCAUUGGAAAACAAAAGAGAGAAAACAUAAUACAUGAAAUCAUGGGGGGUCAAACCAAACUCAUAUAUGGGACAAACAAGCCUAAUCAAACAAAUAUAUAUUUCUGAAACCCAAACCGAUCUCUAGAAAAAAUAAUGUCUAAUACAAUCGGGCAUCCUAUAUCAUACCUAAUAAAAUCACUUUUGGAGUCUAUCCCUAAACUAGAAAGUCUAUCAACACAUUUAUCUCCUUCUCUAAAGAUGUGUGACACCUUAAAGUUAAUAACUUUGUUCAUAGCAGCGCAGCAAGUCCAUCUAACUCUAAAGGACCACAACACAAUAGAGGUGUUCUUCAAAGCAGCAACCACAAGAGUGGAAUCAUAUUCCAACUAUAAAGAAGUCCAACCUCUAGCAACCACAAUCUUAUUAGCAAUAAUAGCACCCAUCAAUUUGGCUUCCUAAACCAUAACUAUACCAAUUAAGGAAGCAAAAACAUCAAUGUAUUUCACUUGCAUGUCACAAAAAAUAUCACUACAAGCAGCAAGACCAAGAGCCCCUUUAGCUACAUCAUCAAUGUUGCAUUUAACGUAACCCACAACAGACCUUUCCAGAACAUUGCUAUAAUUUUUGGAACUUUCGUGGUAUGACCACCAAUAUUAAAGUAUCUCAAUAUAGUAAGAUCGUCCACACAAUUGUGCAUGACAUAUUUUGAUAUACAACCAACUAAACCACAACAAGCAAUAUUCAUACUUGUGGGGAAAGUUAUAUUUACACCUACUUGCAUCUUGGUACCAAUUUUCUGAAGAAGACAAAUGAAUGAGAGAUAAUAACUUCAAAUCUAUCUUUAGAAACUAGGAUUAGGUACGUUAAAAACCAAGGUAGAUAAGCAUUUAUUCUUAGAAAUUAUGGUUCCUCUGGAUACAAGGAUUAAAAGAAAGGUUGGGAGAAAACAAUAGAUUUCGCAAUCAUCAUGAUUACAUAUUUUUUAUAUUCUUUAUCAUGACAAAGGUAUAAGUAAUUUAAAUAAACCAACAAAACUUUGGCUCUUCCAUUCAGAUUUUAACUUCCCAGAUAUUUCAAGGCUACUUUUUAAAAUAUUUCCUAUUUCUUGGUAGGACGGCAGCAGAAUAGAGCAAUCCCCUCAUUCCAACAUGUGCUAAAAUCCCACAUCUUUCUUCCUCUCAUUUUCAAUCCCUAUCUAACAAGUAGUGCAAAAUCAAGACACAAUUAUCAAAGAGUGAAGAAAAGUGAGCACACUACAAAAUCAACAUCAAUUAGACUCAAAACAACUAGCUCAAGUUGUUCACCACAAAAUACUACGUUCUAGAGUGCAACGCUUCAACAGCACAAAGACUCUAAGAACACAGCUACCAAAAAUUGAAAAUGACAACCCCAAUUUUUAACUAAUAACAAAAUCAAAACCUUUUUGGUGGGUCAUGUUUAUUUUGACCCAAAGUUGUCGUCUUUGGCAAUCACUGAGACGGAGAAGAGAAGGGUUACCAAACAAAGAUGAAGAAGCCAUUUGUCGGCAUUGACUGAGAAAAUUGGUUGUGCUUCAAAUUGCAAUGUUGAAGAGUACAAAGCUUUGAGCUUAAACGUGCCAGUGCACCAUCAACAUCGUCACUGUUUGUCUCCCAAAGGCGUUUGCUCAAUCACCAUCACGCCCUACCCACCUCAAGGAACCUCGCCACGUCCCUUCCGUGUCAUUGAAAAAAGAAAUUGAAGUCUAAC
Molecule: long non-coding RNA, 5564 nt
Filed under: Phaseolus vulgaris (common bean)
Lineage: Eukaryota; Viridiplantae; Streptophyta; Magnoliopsida; Fabales; Fabaceae
Description: long non-coding RNA (PVUL_LNC004968)
Source: RNAcentral